RNAcentral lists this ribosomal RNA (500 nucleotides) under uncultured bacterium. RNAcentral's name for it is "partial 16S ribosomal RNA". It matches the Rfam family "Bacterial small subunit ribosomal RNA", at positions 29 to 523 of the family's 1533-position model. The record is from RNAcentral.
AUUGAACGCUGGCGGAAUGCUUUACACAUGCAAGUCGAACGGCAGCACGGGGGCAACCCUGGUGGCGAGUGGCGAACGGGUGAGUAAUACAUCGGAACGUGCCCAGUCGUGGGGGAUAACGUAGCGAAAGUUACGCUAAUACCGCAUACGAUCUACGGAUGAAAGCGGGGGACCGUAAGGCCUCGCGCGAUGGGAGCGGCCGAUGUCAGAUUAGGUAGUGGGUGAGGUAAAGGCUCACCAAGCCGAGGAUCUGUAGCUGGUCUGAGAGGACGGACAGCCCCACUGGGACUGAGACACGGCCCAGACUCCUACGGGAGGCAGCAGUGGGGAAUUUUGGACAAUGGGCGCCAGCCUGAUCCAGCCAUUCCGCGUGCAGGACGAAGGCCUUCGGGUUGUAAACUGCUUUUGUACGGAACGAAAAGGCUCUGGUUAAUACCUGGGGCUCAUGACGGUACCGUAAGAAUAAGCACCGGCUAACUACGUGCCAGCAGCCGCGGUAA